GAUGAACGCUGACAGAAUGCUUAACACAUGCAAGUCUUUGGCGAAUCUGUGCUUGCACCGGCUAGCCAAGGCGGACGGGUGAGUAACGCGUAAAGAACUUGCCCUGCAGACAGGGAUAACAGACGGAAACGACUGAUAACACCUGAUACAGUUGCCGGCACGCAUGUGCCUGGCAAUGAAAAGAGAUGCUGCAGGAGAGCUUUGCGUCCUAUUAGCUUGUUGGUGAGGUGACGGCUCACCGAGGCGAUGAUAGGUAGCCGGCCUGAGAGGGUGAACGGCCACAAGGGGACUGAGAUACGGCCCUUACUCCUACGGGAGGCAGCAGUGGGGAAUAUUGGACAAUGGGGGCAACCCUGAUCCAGCAAUUCUGUGUGCACGAAGAAGGUUUUCGGAUUGUAAAGUGCUUUCAGCAGGGAAGAAGAAAGUGACGGUACCUGCAGAAGAAGCGACGGCUAAAUACGUG
Molecule: ribosomal RNA, 463 nt
Filed under: uncultured bacterium
Lineage: Bacteria
Description: partial 16S ribosomal RNA
Rfam family: Bacterial small subunit ribosomal RNA
Source: RNAcentral